Non-coding RNA from Hydra vulgaris (swiftwater hydra), 316 nucleotides. The record is from RefSeq and is a predicted model, not a curated record. Lineage: Eukaryota; Metazoa; Cnidaria; Hydrozoa; Anthoathecata; Hydridae.
UGUGUAGGUCAAAAAAUAAUAAACAAAAAUGACCAAGAGAUUCAUUUUAAGACACAUCAAUCUUCAUCAUCUUUAAAUAAAAAGGGUAAACAUUAUGGAUUUCCAUUAUCUCAAGCAAAAACAAAGAGUUCAAAAUAUUGGUGGUAAGAACUGUCAAAAACUUGUGAUAGCUAUGAUGAAGAGUUUGUGCAUCGAUUUCUCACGAAUCAUACACAGAGUCGAUUGUCGAUGCAAUAAUUGCUGAUUCGUGAAAACGGGCAACUUUUGCUUGUCUUAAAGUGCCUUAAAUCCAACAGAUAUCAUCGUUAUAAUAUUA